RNAcentral lists this ribosomal RNA (1372 nucleotides) under uncultured bacterium. RNAcentral's name for it is "bacterial SSU rRNA". It matches the Rfam family "Bacterial small subunit ribosomal RNA", at positions 28 to 1381 of the family's 1533-position model. The record is from RNAcentral.
GAUGAACGCUGGCGGCGUGCCUAAUACAUGCAAGUCGAGCGAACGGACGAGAAGCUUGCUUCUCUGAUGUUAGCGGCGGACGGGUGAGUAACACGUGGAUAACCUACCUAUAAGACUGGGAUAACUUCGGGAAACCGGAGCUAAUACCGGAUAAUAUUUUGAACCGCAUGGUUCAAAAGUGAAAGACGGUCUUGCUGUCACUUAUAGAUGGAUCCGCGCUGCAUUAGCUAGUUGGUAAGGUAACGGCUUACCAAGGCAACGAUGCAUAGCCGACCUGAGAGGGUGAUCGGCCACACUGGAACUGAGACACGGUCCAGACUCCUACGGGAGGCAGCAGUAGGGAAUCUUCCGCAAUGGGCGAAAGCCUGACGGAGCAAAGCCGCGUGAGUGAUGAAGGUCUUCGGAUCGUAAAACUCUGUUAUUAGGGAAGAACAUAUGUGUAAGUAACUGUGCACAUCUUGACGGUACCUAAUCAGAAAGCCACGGCUAACUACGUGCCAGCAGCCGCGGUAAUACGUAGGUGGCAAGCGUUAUCCGGAAUUAUUGGGCGUAAAGCGCGCGUAGGCGGUUUUUUAAGUCUGAUGUGAAAGCCCACGGCUCAACCGUGGAGGGUCAUUGGAAACUGGAAAACUUGAGUGCAGAAGAGGAAAGUGGAAUUCCAUGUGUAGCGGUGAAAUGCGCAGAGAUAUGGAGGAACACCAGUGGCGAAGGCGACUUUCUGGUCUGUAACUGACGCUGAUGUGCGAAAGCGUGGGGAUCAAACAGGAUUAGAUACCCUGGUAGUCCACGCCGUAAACGAUGAGUGCUAAGUGUUAGGGGGUUUCCGCCCCUUAGUGCUGCAGCUAACGCAUUAAGCACUCCGCCUGGGGAGUACGACCGCAAGGUUGAAACUCAAAGGAAUUGACGGGGACCCGCACAAGCGGUGGAGCAUGUGGUUUAAUUCGAAGCAACGCGAAGAACCUUACCAAAUCUUGACAUCCUUUGACAACUCUAGAGAUAGAGCCUUCCCCUUCGGGGGACAAAGUGACAGGUGGUGCAUGGUUGUCGUCAGCUCGUGUCGUGAGAUGUUGGGUUAAGUCCCGCAACGAGCGCAACCCUUAAGCUUAGUUGCCAUCAUUAAGUUGGGCACUCUAAGUUGACUGCCGGUGACAAACCGGAGGAAGGUGGGGAUGACGUCAAAUCAUCAUGCCCCUUAUGAUUUGGGCUACACACGUGCUACAAUGGACAAUACAAAGGGCAGCGAAACCGCGAGGUCAAGCAAAUCCCAUAAAGUUGUUCUCAGUUCGGAUUGUAGUCUGCAACUCGACUACAUGAAGCUGGAAUCGCUAGUAAUCGUAGAUCAGCAUGCUACGGUGAAUACGUUCCCGGGUCU